RNAcentral lists this unclassified non-coding RNA (393 nucleotides) under fungal sp. Its description in RNAcentral is "partial internal transcribed spacer region". The stretch from base 1 to 46 matches the Rfam family "Eukaryotic small subunit ribosomal RNA", at positions 1786 to 1831 of the family's 1831-position model. The record is from RNAcentral. Lineage: Eukaryota; Fungi.
AAGUCGUAACAAGGUUUCCGUAGGUGAACCUGCGGAAGGAUCAUUACCGAAAACAAACGCCCCCGUCGCUGUGUUCGCGCUCCCCCCUAUUCGGGGGGACGCGGCGCGCGCGGGGACGGACCCCUGUGAACGCGUUAUCGUCCUUGGUGCCCCGCUCGCGAUCGUGGUCCGGCCGUCCCUCUCUCUCUCGAGAGAGGGCGGUCAUUCAUUUCGCACGCGGCGGGCCCAAUCUUUUUCAUUUACCCCAUCUCUUCUGAAUGCUGACUGAAGUAAAGUCGAGGUCUCGGCCUUCAUUGCGCCCUGGCUUUCGGCGUGGUCAACGCACCUCCCCUCGCGGGCGGGCUUGACGACAAAAACAUGUGACAACUUUUAACAACGGAUAUCUUGGUUCAC